This 337-nucleotide RNase P RNA is filed under the name Gammaproteobacteria bacterium TMED257. RNAcentral's name for it is "RNase P RNA component class A". It matches the Rfam family "Bacterial RNase P class A". Rfam says of the family: Ribonuclease P (RNase P) is a ubiquitous endoribonuclease, found in archaea, bacteria and eukarya as well as chloroplasts and mitochondria. Its best characterised activity is the generation of mature 5'-ends of tRNAs by cleaving the 5'-leader elements of precursor-tRNAs. Lineage: Bacteria; Pseudomonadati; Pseudomonadota; Gammaproteobacteria. The record is from RNAcentral.
AGAGUCAACUAUAUGAUCGCUGUGAAAACAGAGGAAAGUCCGGGCUCCAUAGGCAAUAGUGCCAGGUAACACCUGGGAAACGUAAGUUUACGGAAAGUGCUACAGAAAAUAACCGCUAAUAAACUUUAUUAGUAAGGGUGAAAAGGUGAGGUAAGAGCUCACCACAUACAAGGUAACGAGUAUGGUUGAGGCAAACCCCACUUGGAGCAAAGCAAAUUUAUAGCAUUUUGUCGGCCUAAGACACGCUAUAUGGUAAGCUGCUAGAGGUUUUUGGUGACAAAAUCCCCAGAUUAAUGGUCAUACACGACAGAACCCGGCUUAUCGGUUGGCUCUUAGC